Molecule: long non-coding RNA, 605 nt
Organism: Meriones unguiculatus (Mongolian gerbil)
Lineage: Eukaryota; Metazoa; Chordata; Mammalia; Rodentia; Muridae
Exons: 5
Source: RefSeq, a predicted model, not a curated record
GGCAGUAAACACUUGCUGAAACCUUUUACCAACUGGCUGUGUCCCAAACCAAAAUGAGAAAUGAAUUGCUGAGACAUUAAGGGCUCGCAAGUCCCAGGGGCCACCCAUGAGUUCCACGUAUCCUUGUGCUGAAGUCUGGUACUGGUCUGUGCGAGGAGCACAGCGUCUACACAGCCUGCAUUUCCUGGCUCUUGGCCUCCUCCCUCCAUCUUCAAAGCUUGCAAUGUUGGGAAUCUGAAAGACAAACUAAAGACCAUAAAUGAUUAGCAUGAGAAUCCGCCCUGUCCGUGGUGGUUUUGGAGGGCAAUAAGUGGAAAGCGGGUGAGAAAUAGCCCAGAGUCUUUCUCCCUCUUGGAGACUGUGCCACCUCCUGAGUGCUUCCAAACACCCCAGGAAACCACCGCAUCAUUGUGAAAAGACUAAUCGCCACACACCACUUGAUUUUCCUUCCUGGACGUCACGGGCCAGAACCCUGUGGUUCCCACGUUGUUCCUGUCCUUGUUCCUGUCGUUGUUCCCCAAGAGUUUAACUUUCAUCCUGGACCUGGGUGGGACAGCCUGUCUCAACUUGAGCCCUUAUGUAAGUGGCUGUGGGGAGAGCUGGCA